CGGAGAGCAUCGAAGAAAUAAAGAAGAAGAGUCUGCACCUUCCGAAUUCAUAUGAACAGCAUUCUAAAUGGACCGAGCGGUGGAGUUACUCUCUCCUCAUCAUUUGGAAGAAGAAACCGAUGGAAGAAUCUAGCAUACCCAGUUGAUCACCUCUGAUGACAAAAGUUGAUUCAAUGGUUCAAGUAUAGCUGAUAAUACAAACAGUAAAUUUAUCAGUUAGUUAUGCAUAAACUAAAUAUAAAAAAGAAAACAGCAAUGAACUCAUUUGGCAUAUAAUAGUGAUAAACUGAUACAGAACACUUUUAGACAUAUAGUAAGUGAAUAUGCAUUAUAAUGCAGUUUCAAAAUAGGCUAACACCUUAAAAAAGUAAAUGAUUGUCCACAUUAUAGAUUGAAUUCAUCAUAGAAAAGAAUUUUAUCAUAAACAUUUGGCAAGUUUAUAAAUAUGCUCAUAGUCAAUAGUUUUAAAUAGUCUGCAUAUUGCUGUUACUACAUUAAAUUUUGAAUCGGCAGUAAUAAAAGACUAAGUUUCUCAGUUCUGAAUAUUAGUAACUAAAAGUUAUAUGUACUUUCCGUUAGAGAACACAUACUGUUAUAUUGAAAAAACAAAGAAAACAAUAUCUUGGGGGUUCUGUAAUGAUCAUAAACUAACAAAUAUAUCAAAAUUUUAAAUAUAUUUGAUCCAUUUAGUCGUAUUUGAUCAAAAUUCAGAAGACUUAAUUGCCUUAACUUAGUUGUAUAGUAAAUAAUGCAAGAUACAAAAAUAGUCGAUCUAAAUUUGUCAUAAGGCUGGUUUCUUAAUUGGCUUUCAUUAAAUAACACCCGAAAACAAA
Long non-coding RNA from Rosa rugosa (rugosa rose), 833 nucleotides. RefSeq lists it as uncharacterized. The record is from RefSeq and is a predicted model, not a curated record. The transcript is spliced from 2 exons. Lineage: Eukaryota; Viridiplantae; Streptophyta; Magnoliopsida; Rosales; Rosaceae.